GUGGAUCGACAUUAGGAUGAUUCAUUAGCCUUCUGAAUACGAAGUCCUGUGGUGCCCAUAAUAGGGCCGGGCAAUACGAAGUCCUGUGGUGCCCAUAAUAGGGCCGGGCAAUAACUCCGAGUACGAAGUCCUGUGGUGCCCAUAAUAGGGCCGGGCAAUACGAAGUCCUGUGGUGCCCAUAAUAGGGCCGGACAUGGAGUUGAGGGAUUUUUGAAUCAGUCCACCCGUGGUGUGAUUUGUUUGUGCAGUGGCGCAUUUCAUGAU
RNAcentral lists this long non-coding RNA (264 nucleotides) under Manihot esculenta (cassava). RNAcentral describes it as "long non-coding RNA (MESC_LNC008569)". The record is from RNAcentral. Lineage: Eukaryota; Viridiplantae; Streptophyta; Magnoliopsida; Malpighiales; Euphorbiaceae.